This 465-nucleotide ribosomal RNA is filed under the name uncultured bacterium. Its description in RNAcentral is "partial 16S ribosomal RNA". It matches the Rfam family "Bacterial small subunit ribosomal RNA", at positions 28 to 507 of the family's 1533-position model. The record is from RNAcentral.
GACGAACGCUGGCGGCGUGCUUAACACAUGCAAGUCGAACGGAAAGGCCCCUUUGGGGGUACUCGAGUGGCGAACGGGUGAGUAACACGUGAGUAACCUGCCCUUUACUUCGGGAUAACUUCAGGAAACUGGGGCUAAUACCGGAUAGGAAUCCUUGCUGCAUGGUGGGGGUUGGAAAGCUUCGGCGGUUUUGGAUUGACUCGCGGCUUAUCAGCUUGUUGGUGGGGUAGUGGCUUACCAAGGCUUUGACGGGUAGCCGGCCUGAGAGGGCGACCGGCCACAUUGGGACUGAGAUACGGCCCAGACUCCUACGGGAGGCAGCAGUGGGGAAUAUUGCACAAUGGGCGGAAGCCUGAUGCAGCAACGCCGCGUGCGGGAUGACGGCCUUCGGGUUGUAAACCGCUUUCAGCAGGGGCGAAGCUUGUGGUGACGGUACCUGCAGAAGAAGCACCGGCUAACUACGUG